RNAcentral lists this ribosomal RNA (1949 nucleotides) under human gut metagenome. Its description in RNAcentral is "bacterial LSU rRNA". It matches the Rfam family "Bacterial large subunit ribosomal RNA", at positions 3 to 1989 of the family's 2925-position model. The record is from RNAcentral.
CCAAGCAAGAAAGAGCGCAGGGCGGAUGCCUUGGCACUAAGAGCCGAUGAAAGACGUGAUAAGCUGCGAUAAGCUUCGGGGAGGAGCAAAUAUCCAAUGAUCCGGAGAUUUCUGAAUGGGGAAACCCACAUGAGAAGACCUCAUGUAUCCAUACGCCAAUCCAUAACGUAUGGAGGGGAACCCGGUGAACUGAAACAUCUAAGUAGCCGGAGGAGAAGAAAGAAACCUCGAUUUCCUAAGUAGCGGCGAGCGAACGGGAAAGAGCCCAAACCAGCGUGCGUGCAUGCUGGGGUUCGGACUGCGGAAUUGAUUCGUCAAGGGUAAUGGAACGGUUUUGGGAAAGCCGGCCAGAGAGGGUGAAAGCCCCGUACAUGAAACCAGAGACGACAUGGCAGUAUCCAGAGUACCACGAGACACGGGAAACCUUGUGGGAAUAAGCGGGGACCACCCCGUAAGGCUAAAUACUCCUUAGUGACCGAUAGUGCAUAGUACUGUGAAGGAAAGGUGAAAAGGACCCCGGGAGGGGAGUGAAAGAGAACCUGAAACCCUGUGUUUACAAGCUGUGGAACACCAUUAUUAGGUGAACCGCGUACUUUUUGUAGAACGGUCCGGCGAGUUGUGCAUACUGGCAAGGUUAAGCACCAAAGGUGCGGAGCCGUAGGGAAACCAAGUCUUAACAGGGCCAGAGUCAGUAUGUGCAGACCCGAAACCGGGUGAUCUAUCCAUGUCCAGGUUGAAGCUGCCGUAAAAGGCAAUGGAGGACCGAACGCACAUCCGUUGAAAAGGGUGGCGAUGAGGUGUGGAUAGGGGAGAAAUUCCAAUCGAACCCGGAGAUAGCUGGUUCUCCUCGAAAUAGCUUUAGGGCUAGCCUCGGUGUGAGUCUUGCGGAGGUAGAGCACUGAAUUUCCUAGGGGGCGUCAAAGCCUACCGAAGAAUAUCAAACUCCGAAUGCCGUGUAGAUAUCACCGGGAGUCAGACUGCACGAGAUAAGUUGGGCGGUCAAAAGGGAAAGAGCCCAGACCUACAGUUAAGGUCCCAAAGUGCGCGUUAAGUGGAAAAGGAUGUGGGAUUUCGAAGACAACCAGGAUGUUGGCUCAGAAGCAGCCAUACAUUCAAAGAGUGCGUAAUAGCUCACUGGUCGAGAGGUCCUGCGCCGAAAAUGUCCGGGGCUGAAACGCGCCACCGAAACUAAGGAAUCCGUAAGGAUUGGUAGAGGAGCAUUGCAUAUGGGAAGAAGCAGUACCGUAAGGAGCUGUGGACUAUAUGGAAGAGAGAAUGCCGGAAUGAGUAGCGAGAUAGAGGUGGGAAUCCUCUAGGCCGAAUAUCCAAGGUUUCCAGGGUAAAGCUGAUCUGCCCUGGGUGAGUCGGGACCUAAGGUGAGGGCGAGAGCCGUAGCCGAUGGACAACAGGUUGAUAUUCCUGUACUGCAGUAUAACAGAACUGUGGGGACACGUAAGGAGAGCGGGAGCCGGGAAUGGAAAGCCCGGUACAAGCGAGGUACCAGUAUGGUAGGAAAAUCCGCCAUGCAAUGGGAAGACGUGAUGUGGAGCGAAGAUUAGUAGCGAAGCCCGUGAGCCAUGCGUCAAGAAAAGCCGCUAUCGUUCAUAUUGUACCCGUACCGUAAACCGACACAGGUGGAUGAGGAGAGAAUCCUAAGGCCGGCGGAAGAAGUAUUGCCAAGGAACUCGGCAAAAUGGCCCCGUAACUUAGGGAGAAGGGGUGCCUGCGAGAGCAGGCCGCAGAGAAUAGGCUCAAGCAACUGUUUAGCAAAAACACAGGUCUAUGCGAAACCGAAAGGUGAGGUAUAUGGGCUGACGCCUGCCCGGUGCUGGAAGGUUAAGAGGAGAGGUUAGCGCAAGCGAAGCUUUGAAUUUAAGCCCCAGUAAACGGCGGCCGUAACUAUAACGGUCCUAAGGUAGCGAAAUUCCUUGUCGGGUAAGUUCCGACCC